This is a long non-coding RNA of Xenopus laevis (African clawed frog), 1649 nucleotides long. RefSeq lists it as uncharacterized. The transcript has 2 exons. NCBI's taxonomy places the organism in Eukaryota, Metazoa, Chordata, Amphibia, Anura, Pipidae. The record is from RefSeq and is a predicted model, not a curated record.
CCGAGUGCUUUUAUACAGGUCACAUAACUCCGAGGUGACUACUAAUAUCUUUAUAAAUUUUAGUAGGGGGUACAUUAUGCAUUAUAAUCUACAGUUUUUAUGUGCUUUACAAUGUAAAGAAUGGCUUCACUUACAUACUUCUAAAUGACACGUAUUAAUAGGCUAUGCUUUUGCCCCCCUUCCCUUGCUGAUUUUAGUUUCCUCCUUAUGUUUCCUUGUAGUUCUUUUUUGGAGUUAAGUACCUUUAUUUCUCUGCUGUAUUCUGCCCCUUUCCUUCCUGCUUGCCAUGGUUUACUUAAGUUGCAGGCUGAGAUCGGUGGAGGGGGAGUUGGAGUGAGAUUAAAACUGGGGAUUGAAAGAGGGAGCGAAACUUGAGACGUGGGCGGAAGGCAGGGAGACCGGAGAAGAAGCAUGACGGGAAGAAACCGACAGAGCUGGAGUGAAAUGUGAGAAUCUGGAUGCCCGGAAGGGAGGAGGAGCAAGACUGACGAGAGACCGUGCAAAGGGAACCGGAAGACUGCAGAGGCAGCAUGUGAGGGAAGAAGCUGCACGGAGCGAACAGUCGGCAGCACAGAGAAAGACCUUUUUAAGUUAAAGCAGGGGCUGAGAGGGAGCGCAACAGCUGGAGUGUGCUAGCGGAAUGGUGCUAAUAGACAUAAUGUUUGCUGACGUCUCGACAUAUCCCCCAGAGGCCCAUAAUGGUCUGGAGAGGAAAUUGCCACUCUGAAGUUUAAGAUGUUGAUGGAGGCCCAGUGUUUGAAUUGGAACUCACCUGCAAGCGGUCCGUUUGGAGCGUGAUGUACCUGAAAGAGUGGCGCAGGAUGAUGAUCAGAGAAGGUGCCGCUUGUUUAAUAUACAGUGUCAUCGGGCGAUCGGCAGUGAGAGUUCCGAUCGGGUGAUGCCAGACACUUCUGAACAGCGCUGUUGGAAACGGACCGGCUGAUAACGAGCACCGCAUACAUCCACUUCCCCACAGCUGGGGUGAAUUAGCGAUGGAAUUCUGCUACCGACACCUACAGUAAGUUGAGCAACUCAGAUUGUGAGCCGCAAGCCCUAUGCGGAGCUCAUUCUAACAGCCCAUAACUAGGACGGACUUUUGAUGGGUUUUCACUCUUGGAUGAUCGACAACCCAGGGGGAAUUUGUGACGUUCAGCAUCCAGGGUGCGGGGUGUGUGGUGCCCGACUCCCCCGUUGAUGGUGCCUUUUUUGAUGCGGGGGCCUUUGAUGGAUAUGCUUACUUGACAAGUUCACCAUACCCCGUAUUAGACACUAUUACCCGGAAUAUGUAAAGUUGGACAGUAAAUUAAGCCAUCCUAGAUGAAGAGACUUCGCGAAAUGAACUUUACUUUUGGAUCUGAAAUAGACUGUGAGAUAUAUAUUUGUUUUAUUUUUCUUUUCCCACAUUUCUUUCUUUCACUUUUUUCUUUCACUUUUUUAUUCUUAUUUUUUAUGUAUAUAUUUUUAUACAUUUAUUCUUUUUUAUUCUUCUUUAUGUAAAUGUUAUGCACUCACACAGUCCUCAAUAUUGUGUUCUUUUUUAGCUUUUAGUUUUCAUGCGGGGGUAUGCUCACCUAACUUGUACACAUUUCAAUUUUAAUCUUUAAUCAUGGCAUUUUUGCUGCUUAAAUAUUGCUUAGCUUAAUAAUUAA